Molecule: microRNA precursor, 63 nt
Filed under: Limulus polyphemus (Atlantic horseshoe crab)
Lineage: Eukaryota; Metazoa; Arthropoda; Merostomata; Xiphosura; Limulidae
Description: Lpo-Mir-8-P13_pre stem-loop
Rfam family: mir-8/mir-141/mir-200 microRNA precursor family
About the family: The bounds of the precursors are predicted based on conservation and base pairing and are not generally known.
Source: RNAcentral
CAUCUUACCAGGCAGAUUUAGAGUGAAAUCUCGAAACGUCUAAUACUGUCAGGUAAAGAUGUU